Molecule: long non-coding RNA, 685 nt
Organism: Ornithodoros turicata
Lineage: Eukaryota; Metazoa; Arthropoda; Arachnida; Ixodida; Argasidae
Exons: 2
Source: RefSeq, a predicted model, not a curated record
CACAGUGAAGAACUGUAAUAUUCAGAGUGUUCUGCGCCAUAGAGGGCAACUUUUGGUUAAAGCGCAAAAUGUGCAACAAGGGUAAAAUCUGCGUGUGUUGGUUACGGGAUUCAGGGCUACGUUUCUUACCACGAUAUUUUAUCAGCACGUUGAACCUGAGAGCAUCGUUUUUACGUGUCACCGUUGAAAGAAACUCUUUGCUGCUUCCUGCCUUCAUUACGAAUUAUUUCCAUUAAAAAUUCAGCUGGCCACCUAGACAACAACAACAACAAUAAAUGAAGAAGUGAUGAUGACAUGGGACGUUUCCUCGUGGUAGCCACAGGACCCUACCCCACUUCACAUUGAUUAAUAUGAGAGGAUGAAUUAUGGUGAAAGUGAAGCAACAACAGGGGAGCUCCGUGGGCCGAAUACUUUGGACAAGCUGAAUGGUCUAUGGUCAAGGAGUUCAAGUUUGCGUCGAAGCACCCGGCGUUCACACGUGUACCGGUCACAGUCCUCGAUGAUAUGGAGGAUCGUAUUCUCCACAACGGGAAUUCCAUUGACGUUGUAGGAAUUCUUCAUAACGACAGGGGUGGUUCACUGCGGAGCUGCUAGUAUACGACACGUGUGUGAAAAAGGCCCAUUUACCAUAAGAUACCUGUCAAAAGCUUUUGAAAGGUCUAGAAAUAUAGCGCCAUGCAGUCUG